GACUGAGCACAGAUGGAUGUUUCUAAAACGUGUUUGUCUUCUUGUGGCCUGCAGACGUCUGUGAAGAACAUCUUCUCCCUGAGCAACAGAAGUGGAGCUUCAGGAUGGAGCCACAGCCCUCCCACAUUAAAAAGGAAAAGAAACACCCACUGAUCCCCCAUUUUAAAGCGGAAGAGGAUGACCCACUGACCACUCACAUCAAAGAGGAAGAGGAGGACUCAUUGACCCCCAAUUUUAAAAAGGAAGAGGAGAAGCCACUAAUAACCCAUUUUAAAGAGGAAGAGGGGGACCCACUGACACCCCAUUUUAAAAAGGAAGCGGUGGAUCCACUGAGCCCUCACAUUAAAGAGGAAGAGCCACUGAUCCCGCACAUUAAAGAGGAAGAGGAGGAAAAGGGCAUCAGUCAGCCUAAAUGGUUGGAGGAGUUCCCAGUGACUGGUGUCCCUGUGAAGAGUGAAGAUGAUGAGGUGAAAGGUGAAAGUGAGGAGAGGGGAGGGGGGGAGCCUCCAAGCAGCAGCUCAACACAACACAUGACAACAGAAGCUGAUGGAGACCACUGUGGAGGAUCACAAGCAGACAAGCUCUUAGCUCCACUAUCAGAUAGUGAGGACACAACGUCACACUCUCCUGACACUGAUGAUGAAGACUCUAAAGAUGAUAAGACAUGUCACACUGACAACACUCACUUCACAUCUUCUCACUCUCACAAAACAUUUAAAUUCCAUUGUCAUCUGAAAAGACACAUGAGAAUACACACUGGAGAAAAACCUUUUUCAUGUUCAAACUGCGGUAAACAUUUUACUCAGAGGCCAGAUUUAAAAGUACACAUGAGAACACACACUGGAGAAAAACCUUUUUCAUGUUCUAUCUGUGGUAAAGAUUUUACUCAGAGGCCACAUUUGAAAGUACACAUGAGAACACACACUGGAGAAAAACCUUUUUCAUGUUCAAUCUGCGGUAAAGAUUUUACUCGAAGGGAAAAUUUCAAAAAACACAUGAGAAUACACACUGGAGAAAAACCUUUUUCCUGUUCAAUCUGCAGUAAAUAUUUUGCGCAACGGCACUAUUUGAAAGAACACGUGAGAACACACAGUGGAGAAAAACCUUUUACAUGUUCAGUAUGUUGUAAAAGUUUUUUACAAAGUCAGCAUUUGAAAAGACACACGAGAAGACACCCAGGAGAGAAAGUGUUGAGUUGCAGUGUGUGUGGUGAAAGAUUGUCUUCUAAGUAGCAGUGUAAGAAACACAAGUGUGCUGGUGACAACAGCAGCAGCAAAUGAAACUGCAGGAUUUCAAAUAAACUGUCAAGACUUUAACUUUGACCUUCUAAAAACAUCAGCACAUAGUUUCUAAGAUUUAUAGAUGAGGUAUUUUAGAUUAUUGCCUUUUUUCAGUCAAGUACUACACAUGACAAGUGUUUUUUAAAGUUGUUCAUGAUUUAUCCCCCUUUUUUAGAAUUCCUCAAACAUUAUCAAUUUCAGAAAACAUGGGAACAUUUGGAAUGUUUGGGAAAAGUUAAUUAUGUACAUCAUCCCACAGAGCUUUACUGUACAUCCAUCCAUUUGUUCUACCACUUGUCUCUUUCAUUUUAUAUGUAUAGCAUUUAAUCACAUACUUGUCCGCCAAAGGGUGUUGCGUUUUGGAGGAACUCCUUCUGUCAGAGUGCUGUUCACACUUCUUUUACUGCGGAAAUCUACUCACAAAAACAAUCCAAACAGUAGGAAACAAAAAACGAUGGUGCGAAAAAGAGAAGACUAAAUGUGCAUUUUGGAAAAAAUAACAAAAGCUACUUCUAUACACAAAUAAAGUCAACUUGGUUUGGAGUUACAAGACGUGCACACUACACAACAACACCAAGAUGGAUGGCACUGGGAAUGGCCAAGGUAGCAAAAUACUCAAAGCAUGUAAUCAACUGGCGUGGAGUGGAAUCGCCGAGUGCCAUCCAGCUGUCAAGGUGCUGCUUAAGUAGCACCAGGGUCAAUUGGAAGCAGCUGUGCACGUCCCACAACUCCGCCCACAAAGGCAACACAGGAACUCUAGGAGGAAGGAGAAAUGUAAGAACAAGGUCAACUGCACCAAAAGACGAAAACUGACUGUUGGAGCCAAAUUUCCUUAUUUGCUUAUAUUGUUUUUAUUUUGUUUUCUCUGAUUGAUAGCUGGCUUCAGUUCAUGCUGAAUGUCCCUUUCUGCAGAUUGCUCCGCCCACUUCCUGUUGAGAACCAGGAAGUGUUGACAGGGAUGGGACAGUUGCUAUGGUGCGGUUGCCAUGGUAGCCUCCUUUAAUUGUGUUCAGCUGGGAACACUGGGGGGUGAUUGCAUGGAGGACAAACAGUUUUGGAGCGUGUGGUGUGGUGUGUGGUCAGGUCUCACUGCUGUGACAAUGUGCCAUUCAAGCCAAGUACUGGACAUUCAAUCAUCAAACUGGUCAACACAGUAUCAGUAUCAGUAUCAGUAUCAGCCCAAAGACUUGGACACAAACAGGAGAGAAAGUAAAAAGCAGCUUUAAGGAGGUCAAAACAAAAUGUAUGCAUUCUUUCCAACGGCCGCUGGGUGGCAGCAGAGGCUCCAUGUAUUACCUGAAGAAACAUUUGACUUCUGACCUUUCCACAUUAUUUCUCUCAUCUUUACUGCUGGAGUUCAGCUCACUGAGGAUGUAAGCUACAUUUUGGUAUCUUAAUUAUCUUUAAUUAUUCAUAAACAGGCUUAAAACAAACCAUUAUUAUCAUUACUGCCUCAUUUGUUUCACUCUCUACUAAUUAAAACUAUUCUAGCAUGAAAACAUUCAGGAUGUUCAUACACACAAUAUUACACAUCCCCAAACGUACCAAUUUAUUAUGGUAUUCAUAUCAUACAUUAUUACUUUGAAUAUUCACAUGUUUAUAACAGUGCUGACAAUUUAAAUUCCCUGUGGGGAUUAAUAAAGUAUUUCUGAUUCUGAUCAUUACAUCACUCUCAUAAAGCCUUUAAUGCUGAAUAUGUUUUUUACCAUAGGUCAGCUUCACAAUGUUGGAAUA
This is an RNA transcript of Nerophis ophidion (straightnose pipefish), 3014 nucleotides long. It is a transcript of the gene named oocyte zinc finger protein XlCOF8.4-like, with no coding region annotated. The record is from RefSeq and is a predicted model, not a curated record. The transcript has 3 exons. Lineage: Eukaryota; Metazoa; Chordata; Actinopteri; Syngnathiformes; Syngnathidae.